GACGUCUACGAGUUUGAUCCUGGCUCAGAACGAACGCUGGCGGCAUGCCUAACACAUGCAAGUCGAACGAACCCUUCGGGGUGAGUGGCGCACGGGUGCGUAACGCGUGGGAACCUGCCCUUAGGUUCGGAAUAACAGUGAGAAAUCGCUGCUAAUACCGGAUAAUGUCUUCGGACCAAAGAUUUAUCGCCUUUGGAUGGACCCGCGUUGGAUUAGCUAGUUGGUGGGGUAAAGGCUCACCAAGGCGACGAUCCAUAGCUGGUCUUAGAGGAUGAUCAGCCACACUGGGACUGAGACACGGCCCAGACUCCUACGGGAGGCAGCAGUGGGGAAUAUUGGACAAUGGGCGAAAGCCUGAUCCAGCAAUGCCGCGUGAGUGAUGAAGGCCUUAGGGUUGUAAAGACUCUUUUGUUCAGGGAAGAAACGACUCCGGGCUAAUACCCUGGGGUAAUGACGGUACCUGAAGAAUAAGCACCGGCUAACUACGUG
RNAcentral lists this ribosomal RNA (489 nucleotides) under uncultured bacterium. RNAcentral describes it as "bacterial SSU rRNA". It matches the Rfam family "Bacterial small subunit ribosomal RNA", at positions 1 to 507 of the family's 1533-position model. The record is from RNAcentral.